CUUCCCAGUCAUGAACCCGCACCCCGAGUCAGGGUUCUCCCCUCACGACCCUCCCCGUGGUCCCUGCACAAUCUGGGAGAGACGUGGCACUGCCGGUGCAGAGCUGCCGGGGGAGGACUCCAGGCCAGGGCACAGUCACCGCGCAGGCAAGAGACAGGAUGCCCGGGGCCGCGGCUGUCAGCGCAGCCGCCAUCUUAUGGCUGAAGGGGACUGAGGGCGAGCUGGGCAAGGAGAACUUCGGGCACAGAUUGUGGAGCUGACAGCAGGGAGACCUGAGUCCCGCCACAGCCACUUUUCACUGGUUUCAACCAGCACCUCCCCCUCUCUCGAGAUGUUGGACCGGACACAUUCACCAUUUCUAGGCUUCCAGGGGAUGCCGGAGUCUUAGCUGUGGAUCUUUCAAUACUGCAGGUCACAGGGCCACAGAAGCUGGGCCUCUAGGAGCAGAGGACACUGAGCAGUGAAGACGAGACCUUGAGCUCCGGCUGCAGAGGAGUGGCUGACUCUGGAGCCCAAGCUGUUGCUUCCCAGUCUGGUGGUGAAUCCUCCAUAGUCUGAUUAUUUAAUCAGCAGGAAGAUCAACAGGCCAAAAUUUCCACCAUAACUGUAAACUUGAAUGUGGAUGAAUGGAUUACAACGUGUUCAAGCCUUGCAAUGAGAGGCA
Long non-coding RNA from Pongo pygmaeus (Bornean orangutan), 664 nucleotides. RefSeq lists it as uncharacterized. NCBI's taxonomy places the organism in Eukaryota, Metazoa, Chordata, Mammalia, Primates, Hominidae. The record is from RefSeq and is a predicted model, not a curated record. The transcript is spliced from 3 exons.